GUCAGAAGACACAUUCCAGCCAAUCAGCAGCAGACCCUCCCUCCCAGAUCCUCCCACCUCCUGGACAGCAUCCAUUUUACAUUCAUUGUGAAGCUGCAUUCUUAGUGAGCUGUCCAGGAGGUGGGAGAGUCUGGGAGGGAGGGUCUGCUGCUUAUUGGCUGGAAUGUGUCUGCUG
This 175-nucleotide microRNA precursor is filed under the name Pelobates cultripes (western spadefoot toad). Lineage: Eukaryota; Metazoa; Chordata; Amphibia; Anura; Pelobatidae. The record is from RNAcentral.